GAUGAACGCUGGCGGCGUGCCUAAUACAUGCAAGUCGAGCGAACGGACGAGAAGCUUGCUUCUCUGAUGUUAGCGGCGGACGGGUGAGUAACACGUGGAUAACCUACCUAUAAGACUGGGAUAACUUCGGGAAACCGGAGCUAAUACCGGAUAAUAUUUUGAACCGCAUGGGUCAAAAGUGAAAGACGGUCUUGCUGUCACUUAUAGAUGGAUCCGCGCUGCAUUAGCUAGUUGGUAAGGUAACGGCUUACCAAGGCAACGAUGCAUAGCCGACCUGAGAGGGUGAUCGGCCACACUGGAACGGAGACGCGGUCCAGACUCCUACGGGAGGCAGCAGUAGGGAAUCUUCCGCAAUGGGCGAAAGCAUGACGGAGCGACGCCGCGUGAGUGAUGGAGGUCUUCGGAUCGUAAAGCUCUGUUAUUAGGGAAGAACAUAUGUGUAAGUAACUGUGCACAUCUUGACGGUAAUUAGUCAGAAAGCCACGGCUAACUACGUG
RNAcentral lists this ribosomal RNA (497 nucleotides) under uncultured bacterium. RNAcentral's name for it is "partial 16S ribosomal RNA". It matches the Rfam family "Bacterial small subunit ribosomal RNA", at positions 28 to 507 of the family's 1533-position model. The record is from RNAcentral.